Molecule: ribosomal RNA, 254 nt
Filed under: uncultured bacterium
Lineage: Bacteria
Description: partial 16S ribosomal RNA
Rfam family: Bacterial small subunit ribosomal RNA
Source: RNAcentral
CACGUAGGGUGCGAGCGUUGUCCGGAAUUAUUGGGCGUAAAGAGCUCGUAGGCGGUGUGUCGCGUCGGCCGUGAAAACCUGUAGCUUAACUGUGGGCUUGCGGUCGAUACGGGCAUCACUGGAGUUCGGCAGGGGAGACUGGAAUUCCUGGUGUAGCGGUGAAAUGCGCAGAUAUCAGGAGGAACACCGGUGGCGAAGGCGGCAUCCUGGACCGGUAUUGACGCUGAGGCGCGAAAGCUAGGGGAGCAAACGGG